AGAGUUUGAUCCUGGCUCAGAACGAACGCUGGCGGCGUGCCUAACACAUGCAAGUCGAGCGCGAAAGGAGCAAUCCGAGUAGAGCGGCGCACGGGUGCGUAACACGUGGGUAAUCUGCCUCAGGGUUGAGGAUAACCUUCCGAAAGGUCGGCUAAUACUCGGUAAGCUUACGAUGUCUUCGGACGUUGUGAGAAAACUAGACCUCUAUUUAUAAGUUUAGGCCCAGAGAUGAGCCCGCGGCCCAUCAGCUAGUUGGCGGGGUAACAGCCCACCAAGGCUACGACGGGUAGCUGGUCUGAGAGGACGAUCAGCCACACUGGAACUGAGACACGGUCCAGACUCCUACGGGAGGCAGCAGUGGGGAAUUUUCCACAAUGGGCGAAAGCCUGAUGGAGCAACGCCGCGUGUGUGAUGAAGGUCUUCGGAUCGUAAAGCACUUUCGACUGGGACGAAAAACCUCUGGCUAACAUCCAGGGGCCUGACGGUACCGGGAGAAGAAGCACCGGCUAACUCUGUGCCAGCAGCCGCGGUAAUACAGAGGGUGCAAGCGUUGUUCGGAAUUAUUGGGCGUAAAGCGCGUGUAGGCGGCUUGGCAAGUCAGAUGUGAAAGCCCUCGGCUUAACCGAGGAAGUGCGUCUGAAACUGCUGAGCUUGAGUGUCGGAGAGGAUGGCGGAAUUCCGCAAGUAGAGGUGAAAUUCGUAGAUAUGCGGAGGAACACCGGUGGCGAAGGCGGCCAUCUGGACGACUACUGACGCUGAGACGCGAAAGCGUGGGGAGCAAACAGGAUUAGAUACCCUGGUAGUCC
RNAcentral lists this ribosomal RNA (806 nucleotides) under uncultured bacterium. RNAcentral describes it as "bacterial SSU rRNA". It matches the Rfam family "Bacterial small subunit ribosomal RNA", at positions 8 to 796 of the family's 1533-position model. The record is from RNAcentral.